UACGUAGGGUGCAAGCGUUAUCCGGAUUCACUGGGUUUAAAGGGUGUGUAGGCGGGUAUUUAAGUCAGUGGUGAAAUCUCCGGGCUCAACCCGGAAACUGCCAUUGAUACUAUUUAUCUUGAAUAUUGUUGAGGUAGGCGGAAUAUAUCAUGUAGCGGUGAAAUGCUUAGAUAUGAUAUAGAACACCGAUUGCGAAGGCAGCUUACUAAACAAUUAUUGACGCUGAGGCACGAAAGCGUGGGGAUCAAACAGG
Molecule: ribosomal RNA, 253 nt
Filed under: uncultured bacterium
Lineage: Bacteria
Description: partial 16S ribosomal RNA
Rfam family: Bacterial small subunit ribosomal RNA
Source: RNAcentral